UAAUCAGAGAGUUUGAUCCUGGCUCAGGAUGAACGCUGGCGGCGUGCUUAACACAUGCAAGUCGAACGGGAAAUAUUUCAUUGAGACUUCGGUGGAUUUGAUCUAUUUCUAGUGGCGGACGGGUGAGUA
RNAcentral lists this ribosomal RNA (129 nucleotides) under Blautia wexlerae. RNAcentral's name for it is "partial 16S ribosomal RNA". It matches the Rfam family "Bacterial small subunit ribosomal RNA", at positions 1 to 112 of the family's 1533-position model. Lineage: Bacteria; Bacillati; Bacillota; Clostridia; Lachnospirales; Lachnospiraceae. RNAcentral also lists the same sequence under 1 other name. The record is from RNAcentral.